AUUGAACGCUGGCGGCAUGCUUUACACAUGCAAGUCGAACGGUAACAGGCCUUCGGGUGCUGACGAGUGGCGAACGGGUGAGUAAUGCAUCGGAACGUACCCAGAGGUGGGGGAUAACGCAGCGAAAGCUGUGCUAAUACCGCAUGUGAUCUGAGGAUGAAAGCGGGGGACCGAGCAGCAAUGUUUGGCCUCGCGCCUUUGGAGCGGCCGAUGUCGGAGUAGCUAGUUGGUGGGGUAAAGGCCUACCAAGGCGACGAUCCGUAGCUGGUGUGAGAGGACGACCAGCCACCUUGGAACUGAGCCAGGGACAAGAGUCCUACGGGAGGCAGCAGUGGGGAAUGUUGGACAAUGGGCGCAAGCCUGAUCCAGCAAUGCGGAGUGCGAGAAAAAGGCCUUCGGGUUGUAAACAGCUUUUGGCAGGAACGAAACGGUGUCCGCUAAUACCGGGCGCUAAUGACGGUAACUGCAGAAUAAGCACCGGCUAACUACGUG
This 492-nucleotide ribosomal RNA is filed under the name uncultured bacterium. RNAcentral's name for it is "partial 16S ribosomal RNA". It matches the Rfam family "Bacterial small subunit ribosomal RNA", at positions 29 to 507 of the family's 1533-position model. The record is from RNAcentral.